This is a long non-coding RNA of Oncorhynchus tshawytscha (Chinook salmon), 422 nucleotides long. NCBI's taxonomy places the organism in Eukaryota, Metazoa, Chordata, Actinopteri, Salmoniformes, Salmonidae. The record is from Ensembl.
CUGGGAGAUGGGUUGUGAUUGGUGGGUGAGGCUGGGAGAUGGGUUGUGAUUGGUGGGUGAGGAUGGGAGAUGGGUUGUGAUUGGUGGGUGAGGCUGGGAGAUGGGUUGUGAUUGGUGGGUGAGGCUGGGAGAUGGGUUGUGAUCGGUGGGUGAGGCUGGGAGAUGGGUUGUGAUUGGUGGGUGAGGAUGGGAGAUGGGUUGUGAUUGGUGGGUGAGGCUGGGAGAUGGGUUGUGAUCGGUGGGUGAGGCUGGGAGAUGGGUUGUGAUUGGUGGGUGAGGAUGGGAGAUGGGUUGUGAUUGGUGGGUGAGGAUGGGAGAUGGGUUGUGAUUGGUGGGUGGGGAUGGGAGAUGGGUUGUGGUUGGUGGGUGAGGAUGGGAGAUGGGUUGUGAUUGGUGGGUGAGGAUGGGAGAUGGGUUGUGAU